Molecule: long non-coding RNA, 535 nt
Filed under: Volvox carteri
Lineage: Eukaryota; Viridiplantae; Chlorophyta; Chlorophyceae; Chlamydomonadales; Volvocaceae
Description: long non-coding RNA (VCAR_LNC002041)
Source: RNAcentral
CCUGUUUGUUUGCCUUAUAUGUUCAACUUACAUCGAUUCGCUGUUGCGGAUAAAGCACAGGAGGCCGUUUCACCUGUAAGGGCGGGUCGUUAACCGCUCGUUCUACCCACCUCUCCGAAAGCCAUUACCCUAUUGUAACUAAUUCCUAACCGGCAUCACACUUGUCUCCACCAGCGUCCACCUGGCAUGGAGGCUCAAGCCAGUAACACGGCCAAAAAAAUUUUAAGCGGUCGAGUUUUUGUCGACAGCGAAACGCAAGCCGCGGCCGCAAGCCGCGUUCACAAUCCUCAAUCCAUGCUCCCGAGUUCCUGCUAUCCAGAUAUCGUAUGUAGCUCCUGCAUUGAUUCGGGAUUGUUACAACAUGAAAUUCAGGCCGUGUUCCUUCCUAGCUGGUUCACAGAGUGCCUUGCGAGCCUUAUGAACUCAAUUGCUGUUUGUCACAAUUGCGCAUUACUUUUUACAUUUGACUUUGCAGUUGUGCACAACGCACUUGUCCAUAUAGAUUGGCAUUUGCUUGUGGAAGCAGCUUCGUCUC